AGAGUUUGAUCCUGGCUCAGAUUGAACGCUGGCGGCAUGCUUUACACAUGCAAGUCGAACGGCAGCACGGGGGGGUAACCCUCUGGUGGCGAGUGGCGGAACGGGUGAGUAAUGCAUCGGAACGCGUCCUGUAAUGGGGGAUAACCUGGCGAAAGUCAGGCUAAUACCGCAUACGUCCUGAGGGAGAAAGCGGGGGAUUGGCAACGACCUCGUGUUAUAGGAGCGGCCGAUGUCGGAUUAGCUAGUUGGUGGGGUAAAGGCCUACCAAGGCGACGAUCCGUAGCGGGUCUGAGAGGACGGCCCGCCACACUGGGACUGAGACACGGCCCAGACUCCUACGGGAGGCAGCAGUGGGGAAUUUUGGACAAUGGGGGCAACCCUGAUCCAGCCAUGCCGCGUGAGUGAAGAAGGCCUUCGGGUUGUAAAGCUCUUUCGGCCGGGAAGAAAUCGCUCAAGCUAAUACCUUGGGUGGAUGACGGUACCGGAAGAAGAAGCACCGG
RNAcentral lists this ribosomal RNA (500 nucleotides) under uncultured bacterium. RNAcentral describes it as "bacterial SSU rRNA". It matches the Rfam family "Bacterial small subunit ribosomal RNA", at positions 8 to 496 of the family's 1533-position model. The record is from RNAcentral.